RNAcentral lists this ribosomal RNA (430 nucleotides) under Bacillota bacterium. RNAcentral's name for it is "Firmicutes bacterium partial 16S ribosomal RNA". It matches the Rfam family "Bacterial small subunit ribosomal RNA", at positions 355 to 776 of the family's 1533-position model. Lineage: Bacteria; Bacillati; Bacillota. The record is from RNAcentral.
UAGGGAAUCUUCCGCAAUGGACGAAAGUCUGACGGAGCGACGCCGCGUGAGCGAAGAAGGUCUUCGGAUCGUAAAGCUCUGUUGUUAGGGAAGAAGAAGUGCCGUUCGAACAGGGCGGCACGGUGACGGUACCUAACGAGAAAGCCCCGGCUAACUACGUGCCAGCAGCCGCGGUAAUACGUAGGGGGCGAGCGUUGUCCGGAAUUAUUGGGCGUAAAGCGCGCGCAGGCGGUCCCUUAAGUCUGAUGUGAAAGCCCACGGCUUAACCGUGGAGGGUCAUUGGAAACUGGGGGACUUGAGUGCAGAAGAGGAGAGCGGAAUUCCACGUGUAGCGGUGAAAUGCGUAGAGUUGUGGAGGAACACCAGUGGCGAAGGCGGCUCUCUGGUCUGUAACUGACGCUGAGGCGCGAAAGCGUGGGGAGCAAACAGG